UACGGGGGGGGCAAGCGUUGUUCGGAAUUACUGGGCGUAAAGGGCGUGUAGGCGGCCAACUAAGUCCGACGUGAAAUCCCCAGGCUUAACCUGGGAACUGCGUCGGAUACUGGAUGGCUUGAAUCCGGGAGAGGGAUGCGGAAUUCCAGGUGUAGCGGUGAAAUGCGUAGAUAUCUGGAGGAACACCGGUGGCGAAGGCGGCCGCCUGGGCCUUUUCUGACGCUGAGACGCGAAAGCGUGGGGAGCAAACAGG
This 253-nucleotide ribosomal RNA is filed under the name uncultured bacterium. Its description in RNAcentral is "partial 16S ribosomal RNA". It matches the Rfam family "Bacterial small subunit ribosomal RNA", at positions 524 to 776 of the family's 1533-position model. The record is from RNAcentral.